UUUUUUUUUUUUUUUUUUUAAUCGAAGUAAUAGAUACUCAAUAAUGGGAUUCGUUCCCUGAACAGAAUCUAACUCAGGCUGUAGCCAUAAAAGCACAGAAGCUUAGCUACUAGACCACAGGCUGGAGUGUUUUGUUUUGUCUCUUUUCCCUUCUCUCUCUUCUUGCCCUUUCAUACAUGUUUUUGGGGCCCCAUAAUGUACCAGACACUGUGGCAACCACUGGGAGUAAAAUAGCCAACAAAACGAGACUCAAUCCCAGACUCCAUGGACCUUAUACUCUAAUGAGAGGGAUAGACAUUUAUCUAAUAAUCACACACAACAUACAACAUUUCAUAUAACAACUUGCAUUCUAGUAAAUGCUGGGAGGAGAGAUUCUCAGGGUACAAUUGGAACCUAUGACAGGGGUUGGCCUGGUCAGGAAGGUCAGGGAAGCCUUCCCUGAGAAUUUGAUGACUUAGCUGCGAGCUGAAUGGUGAGUAGGAAUUAAUGAGUGGCUAAAAUGGGGAACAGUUUUCCAGGCUCUGACAGUGUGUGCAAGUGCCAUGUGGAGGAGUUUGAGGGGCCAAAAUGAAGGGUAGGGUGGAUGGAGAGGAAAGAGUAAGGGGUGAAGGAAUGUUAAUUAGGCUGCAGAGUUAAGUGAUGGUCAGAUCAGGCAGGGCGCAAUGUAGGCUAUAUUAAGAACACCAUCCCAACAGCAAUGGGAUGUCAUUGAAGGGUCUAAGCAAAAAUGUGACAUGGUUAAAUAUGUGAUGUCUUGCAAAUUCAGUUCAUCAAAAUCCUAGUAUUCUAAAACAUUUUAAAAUAUACUCAACACAUACAUUAAUCCCCAAUAUUCCUUAAUCUGCCCACCCUCAUUUCCAACAACUGUGGUGACAUGGGAUUGUACAAGGAAUUGGCUUCAUAUACGUAAUUCAUAGUCAAUACAUUUUGUGUUUACCUUCAUGGGAAAAAUGCUGGCUCACAGAAUUAGUUGACUCAGUUGGGAUGUAUUCUUCCAUUUGCUGGAAAAGUUUGUGUAAAAUUGUUAUUACUUCCUUAAUGUUUGUUAGAAAUCCUCAAUGAAGCUAUCUGGGCCUGGAUUUUUUUCUUUAUGGGAAGAUUUGUAACUAUAAAUUCAAUUUCUUUAAAAGAGUUUUUUAGGGUAUCUAUUUCUUGGCUGAGCUUUCGUAGUUUGCAUCUUCAAGGAAUUUUUCUGUUUAAUUUGCCAAAUACACUGAUACAAAGUGUUCAAAAUGUUCCCUUUUAACAACUGUAGAAUCUGUAGUAUUAUCACCUCUUGUUACCUAUACUGAUAAUUCGUCUUCUCUAUCUCUUUCCUGAUCAGUCGGCCUAGAAAUUUAUCAAACUUACUUAGCUUCUGAAAGAAUCAGCUUUUGGUUUCAUUGAUUUUCUCUAUUGUAUUUCUACUGUGUGUUUUAUUUUAUUUUAUUUUUUGAGACGGAGUCUUGUUCUGUCACCCAGGCUGGAGUACAGUGGCAUGAUCUCUGCUCACUGCAACCUCCCCUUCCUGGGUUUAAGCUAUUCUCCUGCCUCAGCCUCCCAAGUAGCUGGAAUUACAGGUACGUGCCACCAAGCCCAGCUAAUUUUUUAUAUUUUUAGUACAGACGGGGUUUCAUCAUCUUGGCUAGGCUGGUCUUGAACUCCUGACCUCAUGAUCCACUCUCCUUGGCCUCCCAAAGUGCUGGGAUUACAGGCAUAGCCACCGCACCCGGCCUACCUUUUCUUUUGAUUUCUGCUCUCAUAUUUCUUUUUUUUCUACUUACUUUGGACUAGACCACCACCAUUUUUUGCUCCCCACUCUUCUCCUUCAAGGACUGCAAUUAUACACCAUGCAUUUGGCUGCCUGAAGUUGUCCCACCCUUUAGUGAUGCUCUUUUUAUUUUGGUAGGAGGUGUGUGUCUUAUUUUGUUCUUUUUACUCUCUGUUUCAGGGAGGUUCUACUGCUAUGUCUUCAAGUUCACUAAUCUUUCUUUCUGCAAUAUCUUAUCUGCCAUUAAUCUCAUGUAACAUAUUUUUCAAUCUCAGACAUUGGAGUUUUCACCUCUAGAAGUUUGAUAUGGGUCUUUUUAUACCUUCUCUGUAAUAUCUUCAGUCUUUCCUCUGGUUUCUUGAAUAUAUGGAAUAUAAUUAUAAUAAUUGUUUUAAUGUCCUUGUCUAACAAUCUUCAUCAUCUGUAAUUUCUGAGUCAGUUUUGACAGAAUGUUUUAUUUUAUUUUUUGUUUGUUUUGAGAC
This 2232-nucleotide long non-coding RNA is filed under the name Macaca fascicularis (crab-eating macaque). RNAcentral describes it as "lncRNA (ENSMFAG00000051853.1)". The record is from RNAcentral. Lineage: Eukaryota; Metazoa; Chordata; Mammalia; Primates; Cercopithecidae.